UGGGGAAUAUUGGACAAUGGGCGCAAGCCUGAUCCAGCCAUACCGCGUGGGUGAAGAAGGCCUUCGGGUUGUAAAGCCCUUUUGUUGGGAAAGAAAUCCAGCCGGCUAAUACCUGGUUGGGAUGACGGUACCCAAAGAAUAAGCACCGGCUAACUUCGUGCCAGCAGCCGCGGUAAUACUAAGGGUGCAAGCGUUACUCGGAAUUACUGGGCGUAAAGCGUGCGUAGGUGGUCGUUUAAGUCCGUUGUGAAAGCCCUGGGCUCAACCUGGGAACUGCAGUGGAUACUGGGCGACUAGAGUGUGGUAGAGGGUAGCGGAAUUCCUGGUGUAGCAGUGAAAUGCGUAGAGAUCAGGAGGAACAUCCAUGGCGAAGGCAGCUAUCUGGACCAACACUGACACUGAGGCACGAAAGCGUGGGGAGCAAACAGGAUUAGAUACCCUGGUAGUCCACGCCCUAAACGAUGCGAACUGGAUGUUGGGUGCAAUUUGGCACGCAGUAUCGAAGCUAACGCGUUAAGUUCGCCGCCUGGGGAGUACGGUCGCAAGACUG
RNAcentral lists this ribosomal RNA (550 nucleotides) under uncultured bacterium. RNAcentral describes it as "bacterial SSU rRNA". It matches the Rfam family "Bacterial small subunit ribosomal RNA", at positions 355 to 896 of the family's 1533-position model. The record is from RNAcentral.